This 450-nucleotide ribosomal RNA is filed under the name uncultured bacterium. RNAcentral's name for it is "partial 16S ribosomal RNA". It matches the Rfam family "Bacterial small subunit ribosomal RNA", at positions 338 to 795 of the family's 1533-position model. The record is from RNAcentral.
CCUACGGGCGGCUGCAGUGGGGAAUUUUGGACAAUGGGGGCAACCCUGAUCCAGCCAUUCCGCGUGAGUGAAGAAGGCCUUCGGGUUGUAAAGCUCUUUCGCAAGGGAAGAAAACUUACUCAAUAACACUGGGUGAGGCUGACGGUACCUUGAUAAGAAGCACCGGCUAACUACGUGCCAGCAGCAGCGGUAAUACGUAGGGUGCUAGCGUUAAUCGGAAUGAGCGGAGGUAAAGCGUGCGCUCACGUGUGAAAUCCCCGGGCUCAACCUGGGAACUGCGUUUGAAACUACAAGGCUAGAGUAUGGCAGAGGGGGGUAGAAUUCCACGUGUAGCAGUGAAAUGCGUAGAGAUGUGGAGGAAUACCAAUGGCGAAGGCAGCCCCCUGGGUCAAUACUGACGCUCAUGCACGAAAGCGUGGGGAGCAAACAGGAUUAGAUACCCUUGUAGUC